Long non-coding RNA from Castor canadensis (American beaver), 268 nucleotides. RefSeq lists it as uncharacterized. Lineage: Eukaryota; Metazoa; Chordata; Mammalia; Rodentia; Castoridae. The record is from RefSeq and is a predicted model, not a curated record.
UGUGGGAUCUCCAGCAGGGACUUGCCGGCCUGCAGAACCAUGAACCAAAAUAGUUAUGAGGUGAGCAGUUUCGGCUGACAACACACUUCCACUGUGUAUUGGUAACAUCACCACAGGCCAAAGCAGUGAGACCAACUGGUUAUGGGCUGAAACUUCCAAAACUGCUUGGAGCGUCUACCUCCCUGGGAAAGAUGAGAAGCAAUGCCAAGAGAAACACCAAGGCAUUUCACAUUAUACCUUUCAAACCAUGGCUGGAAUGAGCAGGCAA